This 64-nucleotide transfer RNA is filed under the name Clonorchis sinensis. It matches the Rfam family "tRNA". From Rfam's summary of the family: Transfer RNA (tRNA) molecules are approximately 80 nucleotides in length. Their secondary structure includes four short double-helical elements and three loops (D, anti-codon, and T loops). The record is from Rfam by way of RNAcentral. Lineage: Eukaryota; Metazoa; Platyhelminthes; Trematoda; Opisthorchiida; Opisthorchiidae.
GGUAGCUUAGUCGGUAAAGCACCCGUCUGGUAAGUGGGAAGUCAGCGGUUUGUGUCCCUGACCA